This 253-nucleotide ribosomal RNA is filed under the name uncultured bacterium. Its description in RNAcentral is "partial 16S ribosomal RNA". It matches the Rfam family "Bacterial small subunit ribosomal RNA", at positions 524 to 776 of the family's 1533-position model. The record is from RNAcentral.
UACGGGGGGGGCAAGCGUUGUUCGGAAUUACUGGGCGUAAAGGGCUCGUAGGCGGCCAACUAAGUCGGACGUGAAAUCCCCAGGCUUAACCUGGGAACUGCGUCUGAUACUGGAUGGCUUGAAUUCGGGAGAGGGAUGCAGAAUUCCAGGUGUAGCGGUGAAAUGCGUAGAUAUCUGGAGGAAUACCGGUGGCGAAGGCGGCAUCCUGGACCGAGAUUGACGCUGAUGAGCGAAAGCUAGGGGAGCAAACGGG